Molecule: transfer RNA, 75 nt
Filed under: Nitrospirales bacterium
Lineage: Bacteria; Pseudomonadati; Nitrospirota; Nitrospiria; Nitrospirales
Description: tRNA-His
Rfam family: tRNA
About the family: Transfer RNA (tRNA) molecules are approximately 80 nucleotides in length. Their secondary structure includes four short double-helical elements and three loops (D, anti-codon, and T loops).
Source: RNAcentral
GUGGGUGUAGCUCAAGGGUAGAGCGCUGGUCUGUGGCUCCAGAGGUUGCGGGUUCAAAACCCGUCACUCACCCCA